AGUGCCAGGUAACGCCUGGGAGGCGCGAGCCUACGGAAAGUGCAGCAGAAAGCAAACCGCCUAAGCGCGCAAGCGCCGGUAAGGGUGAAAAGGUGCGGUAAGAGCGCACCGCGCCGCUGGCAACAGCGGUGGCAGGGUAAACCCCACCCGGAGCAAGACCAAAUAGGGACCCAUGGGCGUGGCCCGCGCCGGGUCCGGGUAGGUCGCUUGAGGCCCGUGGCGACGCGGGUCCCAGAUGAAUGGCUGUCCACGACAGAACCCGGCUUAUCGACCGAUCCACCUU
Molecule: RNase P RNA, 283 nt
Filed under: Alcanivorax sp.
Lineage: Bacteria; Pseudomonadati; Pseudomonadota; Gammaproteobacteria; Oceanospirillales; Alcanivoracaceae
Description: partial RNase P RNA component class A
Rfam family: Bacterial RNase P class A
About the family: Ribonuclease P (RNase P) is a ubiquitous endoribonuclease, found in archaea, bacteria and eukarya as well as chloroplasts and mitochondria. Its best characterised activity is the generation of mature 5'-ends of tRNAs by cleaving the 5'-leader elements of precursor-tRNAs.
Source: RNAcentral